Molecule: long non-coding RNA, 1348 nt
Filed under: Homo sapiens (human)
Lineage: Eukaryota; Metazoa; Chordata; Mammalia; Primates; Hominidae
Description: HSALNT0336636
Source: RNAcentral
GGAACAUCCUGUUCUUAAGGGGAAUGCUUCCAGCAUUUCCUCAUUCAGGAUGACAUUGGCUGUGGGUUUUCCAUAAAUGGCUUUUACUAUUUUGAGGUAUCUUCCUUUGAUGCUUAGUUUACUGAGGGUUUUUAUCAUGAAGGGAUGUUGAAUUUUAACAAAAGGUUGCUCAGCAUCUAUCAAGGCUAUCAUAAGGUUUUUGUUUUUAAUUCUGUUUAUGUCAUGAACACAUUUAUUUAUUUGCAUAUGUUGAAUCAACCUUGCAUUCUAGAAUAAAGUCUUCUUGAUCCUGAUGAAUUAACUUUUGUUGUGUAGGGAUUUUUGCAUCCAUGUUCAUCAGGGAUGUUGGCCUAUAGUUUUCUUUUUCUAUUGUGUCUUUUCCAGGUUCUGGUAUGAAGAUGGCUUCAUAGCAUCAUCCCUCCUCCUGAUGGCUGGAUUCCCUCCUCCAUUUUUUUUUUUUUUGGAAUAGUUUAAGUAGAAUUGAUACCAGCUUUUCUGUUAAAAUUUGGUUGUGAAUCCAUCUGGUCCAGGUUAGUUGUUUUCUGCCUUGUUUCACCCAGGAGAAACCGCGGCUACUGUAGCCUUCCUCCUGCCCCAGACCUGCAACAGGGAAGAGCACGUUCAGGACCUAUUGCUGGGGCACCUUCCACACUUGUCACACAAUUCUGGCUGUUUAGACCCCCACCCUACUUCAGAGCCCCAGUGUUCCAAUCUCUGUCUUGAGACUAAAAUGCCUGUGUGGCCAUGCUGCCAGAUUGCCAAAGAAUGACUUAUUUGUAUAAACCUGGAUUAAAAAUGGUAUCCUGCUGCCAGACCCAGGUGUGGGAAAAUGCCUGUAGAUUUUUCUGGUAUUCUUCCCGCUCAUUGUCUUCAAGCCUCUCCCCAAGUUUGUGCCAGAGCUUGAAAGAAAAGAAGAGUUCUCCCAUGGCCUGCAUUGCACAGAACGCCGGGGGAAAGCAAGGGUCUGCUGCUUCACUCCUGAAGUCAGCUAGACCAUGAACCCACCAGGAGGAACAAACUCUGGACACACCAUCUUUAAGAACUGUAACACUCACUGGGAGGAGCCACAGCUUCAUUCUUGAAGUCAGCAAGACCAAGAACCUACCGGAAGUAACCAAUUCCAGAUACAAUGUCAUACUACAUUUCAACAAACAUUGUGCUACAAUACAAUGCAUUUAAAAUAUUUGGACUUUUUCAAACUUUCAACUUUUAGAAGACUAACAUUUUCUUUAAAAUAUAUGUUGCUUUUCUCUGUUAUUUAUGGGUUAUUUAGCCAACAAUUUGUGAUUGAAGCUGUGUGUCCAAGCAAUUGGAGCUUCUGAAUUUAAUAAAAACAAAUCUUCACCAU